GGAGAAAUACCCAAGUCUGGUUGAAGGGACCGGUCUUGAAAACCGGGAGGUCGGGUAACCGGCGCGGGGGUUCGAAUCCCUCUUUCUCCGCCA
This 93-nucleotide transfer RNA is filed under the name Clostridium sp. CAG:594. RNAcentral's name for it is "transfer RNA-Ser(TGA)". It matches the Rfam family "tRNA". Rfam says of the family: Transfer RNA (tRNA) molecules are approximately 80 nucleotides in length. RNAcentral also lists the same sequence under 2 other names. The record is from RNAcentral. Lineage: Bacteria; Bacillati; Bacillota; Clostridia; Eubacteriales; Clostridiaceae.